RNAcentral lists this ribosomal RNA (267 nucleotides) under uncultured archaeon. RNAcentral's name for it is "partial 16S ribosomal RNA". It matches the Rfam family "Archaeal small subunit ribosomal RNA", at positions 748 to 1008 of the family's 1478-position model. The record is from RNAcentral.
UGGCCGUAAACGAUGUGGACUUGGUGUUGGAAUGGCUCCGAGCUGCUCCAGUGCCGAAGGGAAGCUGUUAAGUCCACCGCCUGGGAAGUACGGUCGCAAGACUGAAACUUAAAGGAAUUGGCGGGGGAGGCACCACAACGCGUGGAGCCUCGCGGGUUUAAUUUGGAUUCUAACGCCGGACAUCUCACCAGGGGCGGACAGCAGAAUGAUGGCCAGGUUGAUGACCUUGCUUGACAAGCUGAGAGGAGGUGCAUGGCGUGUGACUGU